This 6386-nucleotide long non-coding RNA is filed under the name Sus scrofa (pig). Its description in RNAcentral is "lncRNA (ENSSSCG00000058765.1)". Lineage: Eukaryota; Metazoa; Chordata; Mammalia; Artiodactyla; Suidae. The record is from RNAcentral.
CACAUCAAUUUAAUCAGAACUUUAUAGAUUUGAUCUUUUGACUCUUUCUUAAACCUUUGCCCUCCUGUUUAUCCUCACUGCCAGUGAGUGAGCCUUUUAUGAGCCUUUUAUGAGCCUGCCAAUUUCUUUUUGUGAAACCAGCUUCUUGCUCUGAUGAGCCAAAUUCCACACUCACAACAGAGUUGGCAGUUUAAAACACAAAAAACUUGAUUCAUUUCAUCUGCCUCUUGAAAGUCUUUCAUGACUCCCUGUGGCCGUAUAACAGAGCCUGAGUCAUUUACAGCCCUGCAACCUGAAUCUAAUUUUGUUAUCAAACACCAUGCUAUGUCUCCUCUGUUGCAGGUGCACGACCCUGGUUGACAUUCCUUUAAUACGCCAGCCUCUUCAUUGUCUUUAGCCUUUUAAUUUAUGGGCCACUUUAUUUAAAAUACUAUUCUCUUAUUUUACUACCUUUGGAAAUUUUACCAAUCCUUUAAGACUUUGCUCUUAAUUUCUCUUAUUCUCUAUGCAGAGCCAGUUGCUCCCUCCUCAGUAUUUCCAUAGCAUUCUGUUAGUUCCUCUGUUAUUUCAUAAUUAUAUUGUAUUGCAAUUAUUUGCUUACAAGUCUCUUUGCCCUGCAAAAAUAUGCCUUAAAUGCCAAGGCUAAUCUUAGUUAUCAUCUCAGCCUCUCCCCGGCUUCCACAGUGUCUGCACCCAGUCUGUCAGAUGAUUAAGUUCACAGUGGUUAUAAAUGUACAGAGAGAAUUGGGAAUAUCCAGGUUUAUAGAGGCCUCAAAAAUUAUGCUCAGGUGAUCGUGACAAAACUGUAGGAUCAAAGGUUAUGGAGAGUUGGGUUGAAAACUAGUUGAUCAUCAUCUCUAGAAGCAUAUAGGUUAGGUAAAAUCCAACAAAUCAAUUUAUAAUCAAUUUUUUGGUGUUUCUAAAAAGUUACUUACAUUGCCAAAUUUUCAUUUACUUUUUUUGUGGGAAUAUUCUGACUGCUAAAAAUGCUGCAUUCAAAAUGAAUAAAAUAGCAGUUUUUAUAUCCCUAUCUCAAAAUAACUCCCCAGAUGGUCUUCAAACUUUCCAAGAAAAUAAACUUUGGAAAGAAGUCAAACAUAAGAUCUUACUGCCUAAAAAUACACCCAUCAACCCCAAUGAGGUUAUAGAUAUGAGGUAACGAGAGAUGAUUUGACUUUGACUAAUUAGCACUUUUGUUGGUACCAAUAAUGUCAUUUACUGGAGAAAGCUUAUCAUUGAAUUCAUGAUUUAAAAAUAUAAUAUACACUUGAGUUAGUACAGUUAUUCACAUAGGUUCAAGACCUAUAUGUUUGUUUUAUCAUUAGCAUUAAAUCAUCAUCAUGAUCAUUGUUAACUCUCAAUUAUUAAGAAUGUACUAUUUGCCAAGGAAUUAAUUAGCUCUACGUACUUCUCCUCAUUUAAUCUUUAGACAUCCAAGAAAAUAGUAUGGCAGAUACUGAAGGCUCACUUAAUGUAUGGUUCAUUUGAUAUCUUUUCUAAUACUCUCCCCUUUGCUUUGUAUAUUACAGUGGUUAGAAAGUGAAUAUUAAGAUUCCCAGCCUCACUAGAUGUGCCCAUGAGUUACAAUUCUGAUGAGUGAGAUAUAGGUGGAAACCUCUGAAAGAGAAUCUCUUUCCAAAACCUUUCAAGGAGAUUUUUACAAACUUCACCCUUUCCUGUGUUUACCUAAAACCUGUCCUGAUGUCUAGAAGCGCAGCAGACACUAAAAACAUGAGGGGAAAAAGGAUAUUCAGACAAGAAAAGCAAAAAGAGUCAUCUGGGACAUGAAAUAGGCUGUUAGGAAAUAGUGCCAUCUGAAACCAAAUUACUUCUCUGAUGAACAAGAGUAAUAAGCUAGUUAAUUUCAUCCAAAUUCUAUAAAUUUGACUUCUUGAUUAUUUUUUUAAAACUUUGCCCUCCUCUCUCUUUCUACUGCCACUGGCCUGGCCUUUUACAUGCUUUCCUAUUUCUCUUCUGGAAAUCAGCUUCUUUCUUGAGCUGUUAAAUAUAUGAAACUACAACUUCACUCUUGGAUUCACAACCUCUGUAUUUUUAGUCAUGUGAGAAAAAAUAAGCCAUAUUUAGUUAGUUGCCGUGGUUGCGGUUUCCUUAUACACUCAACACAAGCAUAACUAAUUCAGACUAAUUCUUCUCUUCCUAUUUUAUAGAUGAUGAGAUGGAGGAUUAAGGGGGUUUUAUAACUUGCCCAAAGUUGCCCAAAUUGUAAAUACUUUUUAUAAGAUUCAGAUUCAACCUAUUAGAAUCUGAAGUUAAUCUUCUUUACAGUCUAGAAUUUCAAAAAAAAUUGGAAGAACCACUUAGAAUUGCCAGUGGCAAUUUCAUAUGGGUUAUCCUAGUUGUUUAAAUACUAUAAUAAUAUGUAUACCUACAUACAUUUAUUUACUGUUUACUGGUUAAUUAAUAAAAUUCAGAUUGGACUAAUUCAGUUUAUGAAUUAGGAAAUACUAUGAUGACUAAAUUAAUUAAAUUGUUAUUUCCAAAGUCAUUAAUUUUUAGCGUAUAAAUAUUGCUUUUAUGUUAGAAUACCUACCACUGUACAUAACACACAGAGGGAACUCCAAAAGUAUUCAUUGAGUAAAGAAUAUUUUGAACUUAGUAACCUCCUUUGCAGGUGACAUUUACAAAAAAAACAUACGUUUUGAACAAAGAAUAUUAUUGCCUGUAAUAUAGUUACUGGUCGGAAAGAGAUUACUAGUUUUCCCAGGGGUAUUCUUCCUCACUUGGUCUAACACAGUUAUUCCUAUUUUAAAACAUGGCUCAUGUCAUCCACGUUGUGAUAUAUUCCUAACACCUUACUAUUACUCUGUCCCUUGUACAUACACCUGUUAUUGAAGUAACUACAAUCUCAUGUUCAUUUUCCCCACUAAUUUGUGAAUUACUAAAGAUGAGAAGCUUGUCUUCAUCUUUAUAUCCCAGGGACUUAGAUGGUAUUUGAUAAAUGUUUCAUGAAUGGAAUUUAUUACUAUGAAAUUUAUUGCUAUGAUUUCAAUGUGUUUAACAUCAAAUGCACAUUUUAGAAAGAUAAAUUUAUCUGUAAACUUUCAAAUGAGAUUUAAUGACAUUUGGGGAAGAAAACGGGAAAAUAUUCAUUUGAAAGAAAAAGUGAGCUAAAAAAUUUUGAAGUAAUAUUUGGUGAUAGACAAUAAUUCAAAAGGGAAAGAAAUGGAGAAGGGAGCAGUUGCAGAUGCUUUUGGCUAUAAAGGACAUCCAGGCAAAGCACAUGUGUGAUUUCAAUGACACUUCAUCAUUGUUAUAUGAAAGCAAUGAGAGCUAGAUAAAAGGCAGCUGAAGGAGUUCUCUUGUGCUGCAGCGAGUUAAGGAUCUGGCGUUGUCACUGCAGCGGCUCAGGUUGCAGCUGUGCUGUGGGUUCGAUCCCUGGCCUAGAAACUUCCACAUGCCAUGGGUGUGGACAAAAAGGGCGGGGGGCACAGCUGAAGACAGGCACAGACCAAGAAUAAAGAGAAGAGCUUGAUGGUUGUGAGUAUGGUCACGUUUUGAUCUGCUUUAUAAAGUUCUGCUUUGCUGCAGUAUUUUCUUUAAUGAGAUCACUGGAAUCAGGAUACAGGUCUAAGAUUAUGCUACUACUUUGAGUGAUGGAAAUAUUAGAUUUGUGGUGUUGAGCGAGACUGUCAGCCAUGGGCUCUUAGCAAAUCUAUCAGUUUUUGCUGAGUGUUAUUUGUCAGGCUUAACUUAAGACUUAUCUGUCAUCUGAUACUGAGCCAUCUUUGGAGCUAGUCACAUAGACAACAGAAUAGAUCAAAGUUGGCUUUUGUCUAACUAGCUGCUCUUCUAGGAGAGUGAGACUGGCUUAUUUGCUUCUUGCUACAAUGUUUGCUGUUUACUCAAAAGGUACUGAGAUCCUUGGCCUCUCUUGUGCUAUGCAACCCACUGAGUGUGGAUGUGCAUCUAGCCCUUCUCACUACCUUUUGGGAACUGGGCAAAUAUUGUGCUCAUGUUGCUUGCUGUGCUUUGAGUAAUAAAGUUCUUUGUCAUUGACCCAGGAAUAUCAUGCCUUUUGUCAGCAUGACACUUCUAGCCACAUAACAAACACUGUGGCAAACUAAAUUGUUAGCUUGCAGGUGGGGUAAAAUCUCAAAUCCUUCCCAGUUCUUAAUAGUGGAUGUCUCCUUCAUAACAGCUGUGCUCAGUGGAUACAUAAAAUUUUACAUAAAGAUUGAUUUGUAAUAUGGGGAUCAUCUGUGCCUAGGGGCAUAAUUACUGGCCUACAAAAGUGAAGGCUAACAUGGAAAAUAUUGUGACACCUUGAGGGAAAGCAAGUCAUAUUCUGAUGAAUCUGUAAAUUUAAUUUUUUGCCACACUGAGCAAGCAUAGUCUUACACUCAUGUUAAAUGGAUUUUUUGGAGCCAGGUAGCUCAUGUUUAGCACUAGAUCUCAUGGUUGUACCUGCUGGGUGGAAAAAGUAAAAGGAGUAGCUGAUACCAAAGAAAGAUUGAAUGCUCACUGGAGCGUUUAGGAUAUUUCAUUCAUAUCUGUUCAAGAGUCAGUAAAUAGUUCUAUUCAAAAAGUAACAGUGUGUUGAAGGAGGACCAAGUGAACAAUGCAUCAAAAGUAAGAUACUUUUAUAGACACUGGUAGUAGACCUGUUAUACGUAAAAAGAAAAGACAGUAAAUUGUUCUAUUCAACUAACACUAUAUUCAAGGGCAGUCAAGUGAAUAAUGAAAUAACAGUAAAAUGUUUUCACAGCACUGUGAUACAGGGUUAAUUGUAAUAGCCAUUGUAAUUAUUGUAAUUAUUGCUGACUUGCAUGUUUUAAUCCCUUCAAAUGUUGCAUCAAAUAUUCCAGUAUAAAAAAUGAACAUGAACAAACAAAAUGUUGGGAACUGCUAACACAAAAAGGGGAGAUUGGGAAUGGGAGAGCAAGAAAAACACAAAAGAGUUAAGGAUUUAAGCUCGCUAGAAUAUAUAAAAAAACAUGCCAUAAAAAGUGUUCAUUAAUUCAGAAACUUUCACAAUUGUGAGAGGAGAGAUUCCAAAGUGGGCAGAUCUAUUUAUAAACAUUUAACAAUCUAGAAGCAGCAACUAUCCAGGGAGGUAGAAUUUUAAUUAAAUGCCUAGAGGCAAUCUAAAAUGAUGUAAGUGAAUUCAAAAUUUAAAAGAAAGUAAUCAUUUACAAUUACAAAUAUAGUUAUAGAUAAUUAGACAAAUUCUAUAGUGAUAUAAUUAAAUGACUGGCACGUCCUUUGUCUUAGGUUCAUUUGUUCAAUAAUUGAGCUGCUCUAAUAUACAAUUCAUUUGUUCCUGUCUCUAAGGAGAUCACAGUUUAGUGGGGAAGAAAAUACACAAACAACUGUCUAUGUCAUAUUUAGUGAAUUUUCUAGUAAAGGUACAAAGAUGCUUUGAGAUUGAUUCCUGACUAAAACAAUUACAGAGGGCUUCAUGGAGGAUGUAGCAUUACUCAGUAGAAAACUCUAUAGAAUUUUUAUAGACAAAGGGAUUGAAAAGGGCAUGAACCAAGGCUUGAAGGUGUGAAAGCUCUGGGCAUGUGCAAGGAAGACUGAGUGCCCUGGCAUGUCAGUAGGACACUGGAUUUUGUUUUAUUAGCUAAUCUUGAAAUCUUUUUCUAUUUCUCUUUAAAAGAUGAGUUAGGUUCAUUUCUACUUACUAAUAUAGUAAACGUUUGGCCUCUGUCCUGCCAGGUAGUUUCAUGUUUUAUGACUCUAAUUUUUCACUGGGUGGUUUAUUUCCUCAUUCUCUCUUUUGGGGUGAAUCUUUUCAUAUUUUAGGAAGGUUCGUAUUUUUUUCCUAAUGAUUAUCUUUGUUAUAAUAUUGAACCCUAAUCCCUCUUUAUCCCUUUGUCCUGCUUUCUGUUCCUCCAUCCUCAUUUCUCUCUUACUAUUGUCCAAUGGUUGUCUAACACCGAGUUAAUAUAUUACCAUUCCCCCAUUUUUGAGUAGUUGUAAUAUAUAUUCUUAGGGCAUAUAUACAUCAUAUAUUAUAAAUGCCUCUUUACACUCAUAAUUUAGUAAAAAUUCUCAAGGUAAAUAUGUUUUUAACAUUCUUCACCAGUCUUCUUGAUUAUCUGAAAUUUGCCUUAUAGAUUCCUUAGGAGUAGAUCACAGAAACAUCAUUUCCUAAGUUAUUUUACAUUCUUAACACUUUAUAAUUGGGGGUCAGUUUGAUCACAUGUAAAAUAUUUGCUCAUGGAUUUCCCUUCGUGGUCAGCAGAAACAAAUCCGACUAGGAACCAUGAUGUUGCAAGUUCGAUCCCUACCUUGAUCAGUGGCGUUGCUGUGAGCUGUAGUGUAGGUCGCAGACGUGGCUUGGGAUCUGGCACUGCUGUGGCUGUGGUGUAGGCCAGCAGCUGUAACUCCGAUUGGGCCCCCAGCCUGAGAACCUCCAUAUG